Molecule: ribosomal RNA, 312 nt
Filed under: uncultured Eubacterium sp.
Lineage: Bacteria; Bacillati; Bacillota; Clostridia; Eubacteriales; Eubacteriaceae
Description: bacterial SSU rRNA
Rfam family: Bacterial small subunit ribosomal RNA
Source: RNAcentral
GGGGGAAUAUUGCACAAUGGGCGCAAGCCUGAUGCAGCAACGCCGCGUGAGGGAAGACGGUUUUCGGAUUGUAAACCUCUGUCAUUAGUGACGAAGAAGUGACGGUAGCUAAUGAGGAAGCCACGGCUAACUACGUGCCAGCAGCCGCGGUAAUACGUAGGUGGCGAGCGUUAUCCGGAAUUACUGGGUGUAAAGGGAGCGCAGGCGGGAUAGCAAGUCAGCGGUGAAAUGCAUGGGCUUAACCCAUGAGCUGCCGUUGAAACUGUUAUUCUUGAAUGGAGUAGAGGCAGGCGGAAUUCCGAGUGUAGCGGU